AUUGAACGCUGGCGGCAGGCCUAACACAUGCAAGUCGAACGAGUGGCGGACGGGUGAGUAAUGUCUGGGAAACUGCCUGAUGGAGGGGGAAAAAUAGGGGAAAGGGUACCAAAUACCGUAUACACUCAAAGGUGCCAAGAUGGGAUUAGAUAGUGGGUGGGGAAAGGGCUCACAAAGGCGACGACCCCUAGCUGGUCUGAGAGGAUGACCAGCCACACUGGAACUGAGACACGGUCCAGACUCCUACGGGAGGCAGCAGUGGGGAAUAUUGCACAAUGGGCGCAAGCCUGAUGCAGCCAUGCCGCGUGUAUGAAGAAGGCCUUCGGGUUGUAAAGUACUUUCAGCGGGGAGGCGUUACCCGCAGAAGAAGCACCGGCUAACUCCGUGCCAGCCGCCGCGGUAAUUC
RNAcentral lists this ribosomal RNA (406 nucleotides) under uncultured bacterium. Its description in RNAcentral is "partial 16S ribosomal RNA". It matches the Rfam family "Bacterial small subunit ribosomal RNA", at positions 29 to 526 of the family's 1533-position model. The record is from RNAcentral.